Molecule: ribosomal RNA, 433 nt
Filed under: uncultured bacterium
Lineage: Bacteria
Description: partial 16S ribosomal RNA
Rfam family: Bacterial small subunit ribosomal RNA
Source: RNAcentral
AGCGAACGCUGGCGGCAGGCUUAACACAUGCAAGUCGAGCGGGCCCUUCGGGGUCAGCGGCGGACGGGUGAGUAACGCGUGGGAACGUGCCUUCUGGUCUGGAAUAACCCUGGGAAACUAGGGCUAAUACCAGAUACGCCCUUUUGGGGAAAGGUUUACUGCCGGAAGAUCGGCCCGCGUCUGAUUAGCUAGUUGGUGGGGUAACGGCCUACCAAGGCGACGAUCAGUAGCUGGUCUGAGAGGAUGAUCAGCCACACUGGGACUGAGACACGGCCCAGACUCCUACGGGAGGCAGCAGUGGGGAAUAUUGGACAAUGGGCGCAAGCCUGAUCCAGCCAUGCCGCGUGAGUGAUGAAGGCCUUAGGGUUGUAAAGCUCUUUUAUCCGGGACGAUAAUGACGGUACCGGAGGAAUAAGCCCCGGCUAACUUCGUG